GAUGAACGCUGGCGGCGUGCCUAAUACAUGCAAGUCGAGCGAACAGAUGAGGAGCUUGCUCCUCUGACGUUAGCGGCGGACGGGUGAGUAACACGUGGAUAACCUACCUAUAAGACUGGGAUAACUUCGUGAAACCGGAGCUAAUACCGGAUAAUAUAUUGAACCGCAUGGUUCAAUAGUGAAAGACGGUUUUGCUGUCACUUAUAGAUGGAUCCGCGCCGCAUUAGCUAGUUGGUAAGGCAACGGCUUACCAAGGCAACGAUGCGUAGCCGACCUGAGAGGGUGAUCGGCCACACUGGAACUGAGACACGGUCCAGACUCCUACGGGAGGCAGCAGUAGGGAAUCUUCCGCAAUGGGCGAAAGCCUGACGGAGCAACGCCGCGUGAGUGAUGAAGGUCUUCGGAUCGUAAAACUCUGUUAUUAGGGAAGAACAAAUGUGUAAGUAACUAUGCACGUCUUGACGGUACCUAAUCAGAAAGCCACGGCUAACUACGUG
RNAcentral lists this ribosomal RNA (497 nucleotides) under uncultured bacterium. RNAcentral's name for it is "partial 16S ribosomal RNA". It matches the Rfam family "Bacterial small subunit ribosomal RNA", at positions 28 to 507 of the family's 1533-position model. The record is from RNAcentral.